RNAcentral lists this ribosomal RNA (449 nucleotides) under uncultured bacterium. Its description in RNAcentral is "partial 16S ribosomal RNA". It matches the Rfam family "Bacterial small subunit ribosomal RNA", at positions 29 to 523 of the family's 1533-position model. The record is from RNAcentral.
AACGAACGCUGGCGGCAUGCCUAACACAUGCAAGUCGAACGAGAUCUUCGGGUCUAGUGGCGCACGGGUGCGUAACGCGUGGGAAUCUGCCCUUUGGUUCGGAAUAACAGUUGGAAACGACUGCUAAUACCGGAUGAUGACGAAAGUCCAAAGAUUUAUCGCCAGAGGAUGAGCCCACGUAGGAUUAGCUAGUUGGUGUGGUAAAGGCGCACCAAGGCGACGAUCCUUAGCUGGUCUGAGAGGAAGAUCAGACACACUGGGACUGUGACACGGCGCAGACUCCUACGGGAGGCAGCAGUGGGGAAUAUUGGACAAUGGGCGAAAGCCUGAUCCAGCAAUGCCGCGUGAGUGAUGAAGGCCUUAGGGUUGUAAAGCUCUUUUACCCGGGAUGAUAAUGACAGUACCGGGAGAAUAAGCUCCGGCUAACUCCGUGCCAGCCGCCGCAGUAA